This 75-nucleotide transfer RNA is filed under the name Danionella cerebrum. Its description in RNAcentral is "tRNA-Val". It matches the Rfam family "tRNA". From Rfam's summary of the family: Transfer RNA (tRNA) molecules are approximately 80 nucleotides in length. Their secondary structure includes four short double-helical elements and three loops (D, anti-codon, and T loops). Further hydrogen bonds mediate the characteristic L-shaped molecular structure. tRNAs have two regions of fundamental functional importance: the anti-codon, which is responsible for specific mRNA codon recognition, and the 3' end, to which the tRNAs corresponding amino acid is attached (by aminoacyl-tRNA synthetases). tRNAs cope with the degeneracy of the genetic code in two manners: having more than one tRNA (with a specific anti-codon) for a particular amino acid; and 'wobble' base-pairing, i.e. permitting non-standard base-pairing at the 3rd anti-codon position. The record is from RNAcentral. Lineage: Eukaryota; Metazoa; Chordata; Actinopteri; Cypriniformes; Danionidae.
GCUUUCCUGUGGCUCAGUUGGAAGAGCAUUGUGCUAACAAGGCAAAGGUUGUUGGUUCAAAUCCCAGGGAAAGCA